This 258-nucleotide ribosomal RNA is filed under the name uncultured bacterium. RNAcentral's name for it is "partial 16S ribosomal RNA". It matches the Rfam family "Bacterial small subunit ribosomal RNA", at positions 524 to 776 of the family's 1533-position model. The record is from RNAcentral.
UACGUAGGGGGCAAGCGUUGUCCGGAUUUAUUGGGCGUAAAGAGCGUGUAGGCGGCCAUACAGGUCAGCUGUGAAAACUCGAGGCUCAACCUCGAGACGUCGGUUGAAACCGUAUGGCUAGAGUCCGGAAGAGGAGAGUGGAAUUCCCGGUGUAGCGGUGAAAUGCGCAGAUAUCGGGAAGAACACCCGUGGCGAAGGCGGCUCUCUGGGACGGUACUGACGGCGUGAGACGGCGAAAAGCGUUGGGGAGCGAACAGG